This 500-nucleotide ribosomal RNA is filed under the name uncultured bacterium. Its description in RNAcentral is "partial 16S ribosomal RNA". It matches the Rfam family "Bacterial small subunit ribosomal RNA", at positions 30 to 523 of the family's 1533-position model. The record is from RNAcentral.
AUUGAACGCUGGCGGCAUGCUUUACACAUGCAAGUCGAACGGUAACAGGGUGCUUGCACCGCUGACGAGUGGCGAACGGGUGAGUAAUGCGUCGGAACGUGCCGAGUAGUGGGGGAUAACGCAGCGAAAGUUGUGCUAAUACCGCAUACGUACUGAGGUAGAAAGUGGGGGACCUUCGGGCCUCACGCUAUUCGAGCGGCCGACGUCUGAUUAGCUAGUAGGUGAGGUAAAGGCUCACCUAGGCGACGACCAGUAGCGGGUCUGAGAGGAUGAUCCGCCACACUGGGACUGAGACACGGCCCGGACUCCUACGGGAGGCAGCAGUGGGGAAUUUUGGACAAUGGGCGAAAGCCUGAUCCAGCCAUGCCGCGUGUCUGAAGAAGGCCUUCGGGUUGUAAAGGACUUUUGUCAGGGAGGAAAUCCCUAGUGCUAAUAACACUGGGGGAUGACAGUACCUGAAGAAUAAGCACCGGCUAACUACGUGCCAGCCGCCGCAGUAA